This 500-nucleotide ribosomal RNA is filed under the name uncultured bacterium. RNAcentral's name for it is "partial 16S ribosomal RNA". It matches the Rfam family "Bacterial small subunit ribosomal RNA", at positions 30 to 523 of the family's 1533-position model. The record is from RNAcentral.
AUUGAACGCUGGCGGCAGGCUUAACACAUGCAAGUCGAGCGGAGAUGAGGUGCUUGCACCUUAUCUUAGCGGCGGACGGGUGAGAAUGCUUAGGAAUCUGCCUAUUAGUGGGGGACAACAUUCCGAAAGGAAUGCUAAUACCGCAUACGUCCUACGGGAGAAAGCAGGGGAUCUUCGGACCUUGCGCUAAUAGAUGAGCCUAAGUCGGAUUAGCUAGUUGGGGGGGUAAAGGCCUACCAAGGCGACGAUCUGUAGCGGGUCUGAGAGGAUGAUCCGCCACACUGGGACUGGGACACGGCCCAGACUCCUACGGGAGGCAGCAGUGGGGAAUAUUGGACAAUGGGGGGAACCCUGAUCCAGCCAUGCCGCGUGUGUGAAGAAGGCCUUAUGGUUGUAAAGCACUUUAAGCGAGGAGGAGGCUACUGAGACUAAUACUCUUGGAUAGUGGACGUUACUCGCAGAAUAAGCACCGGCUAACUCUGUGCCAGCCGCCGCGGUAA